AGACGAACCGUACAAACGUUAUUCGGAAUCACUGGGUUUAAAGGGUGCGUAGGCGGCUUGGCAAGUUGGGUGUGAAAUCCCUCGGCUCAACCGAGGAACUGCGCUCAAAACUGCCAGGCUAGAGGGAGAUAGAGGUGAGCGGAACUUAGGGUGGAGCGGUGAAAUGUGUUGAUAUCCUAAGGAACACCGGUGGCGAAGGCGGCUCACUGGGUCUUUUCUGACGCUGAGGCACGAAAGCUAGGGGAGCGAACGGGAUUAGAAACCCCUGUAGUCC
Molecule: ribosomal RNA, 274 nt
Filed under: uncultured bacterium
Lineage: Bacteria
Description: partial 16S ribosomal RNA
Rfam family: Bacterial small subunit ribosomal RNA
Source: RNAcentral